Molecule: RNA transcript, 2465 nt
Organism: Dreissena polymorpha
Lineage: Eukaryota; Metazoa; Mollusca; Bivalvia; Myida; Dreissenidae
Gene name: sulfotransferase 1A1-like
Exons: 7
Source: RefSeq, a predicted model, not a curated record
AUGUGUGUACAUGCGAGUGUAUUGCUCGACUGUCAGUGUAAUAGUUGUGUCUGUGUUAAGCAAGUUUAACAAAAUGACAACGAAAAUUAAUUUAACAACCCCGAAUGGCAUAGAACUUGAGUAUUGCUUUGCAAAGGGGAUAUAUUUUAGAGCCUCAACGCUAGAGCACCUGACCGAUGGUGACCUGUCCAAACAAGUUGAAAACGUGCAAAACCUUCCGAUUCGUGAUGACGACGUCUACCUUGUUACGUUUCCAAAGUCAGGAACUCACUGGCUCUGGGAAAUCGUCUGCAUGCUACGAAAGGGCAAAUCUGAGUACGAAAAGGACGUAAAGGAAGUGGCAUUCCUUGACUUCAAGUCCACAGAACAAAUCGAGGCACUUCCGUCUCCUCGUGUCAUCAACUGUCACUAUCCCGUUCAUCUUACUCCGCGAGAGAUAUUCACGAAAGGCAUCAAGAUUAUCCACGUACAAAGGAAUCCAAAGGAUAUAGCCGUUUCGUACUUCAAUCAUAUUUUUAAGUUUAGCAAAAAGCCUUCACCGUUGAAAACGUUCAGCGACUUCCUGCCUUUAAUGCUCGGGUCGUACGGCAUAGAUCUAUAUUACCCUUGGUGCAAAUAUGUAAAGGAGUGGGAAAAGUUUUCCAGAAAACAUCCUGAUCAAAUUCUUAACAUGAACUUUGAAGACGUAAAAGAGAACCCGAUUCGGGAGAUUCGCAAAGUCAACGAGUUUCUUGGAACAAAGUGCAGCGACGAGCUUAUAGCCGAUAUAUCUGAGGCUUGCGAGUUUGAAAAUCUGAAGAAAGCGGACGCUGAAGUGAAAGACAAAAAGGCGUUUUUCAAUCAUGAAGGACCUUCCCCAAUGUAUCGUAAAGGUAUUAAAUAACAGGGAACUGUUAUGGAUGUGGUUUUGUGCUGGGUCGAACACACCGUUCAAUCGCCUCCAGCGACGACUAUGGAUCAUGCAACUACUGAGGCGAAGUUGGCGAUUGGAAGAACUGGUUCACAGUGAGUGAAAGCAAGCAGAUGGACCGAUGGCUCAGUGACAAUUUAACCGACACCGACUUGAAGUUCAGAUAUGAAUUAUAACGACGAAAUCGAUUUGCAAUGGAUUAAAGGCACACACCUUGAAAUGAAAUACAUGGCAUAGUAAAUUAAAGUAUAAAUAAGAAACAUUUUAUCUAUGCCAAUUAGCAUAUAUCUGGUGGUAACAAGGUAGAAAUCCGUCUUUUUUGCGCUUUACAACUUAAAAAUAAUCGCGUUUGUCGAAAUGGACGUAUACGUCUAGAUAUCCUACUUUCGGUUUUAAAAGCGGUACCGUUUGAAAAAUAAUAUAUUAUAUGCUAACUAGGCAACAUAUUAAAUUUUAUCUAUGCCAAUUAGAAUAUAACUGGUGGUAACAAGGUACAAAUCCGUCUUUUUGCGCUUUAAAACUUAAAAUUAAUCGCGUUUGUUGAAAUGGACGAAUACGUAUAGAAAUGAUACUUUCGGUUUUAAAUUAAAAAAAUAAAUAAAUUACUUGCUAACUAAGCUAUAGAUUUAAUCACAAUUUUGCACACUUUCAAAUUGCAUCUAUAUGUAUAGAUUAACAUGUAUUUCAUUUCAAGGUGUAUGGCUUUAAGCCUCGUGAAAUAUUAUUGUUUUGGCACAGCAUUGAAAGUCAAUUGACACUAGAGUUCAUGUAUCUCUUCACUCUUGCUUGGAUAAACAUUGAUUAAUUAUUGAAGAUACGUUGAAAAUAUUUAUUCACAAACCUUUUUAUUUCAACGAUUGACGAAUUUAAAUUUGUAAAUAGUUAUUUUGUCCGGUAUUUCAAAAAUCAUAUAUUGGAUUACCUUAGACAUGGAAAAGAUAAAUAUCAAUCGUUAUCUACGCAUAGGUGCUGUACCAGUUUUGAAGUGUAGAUAAAUCCAGAUUUUCGAUAAAAUUGAUUACAUUAUUCUGUGAAAUUAAAUGCAGUUAAUCUGCAUCGAUGACUUCGUGUAGGCACAUGAGUAGGGAUUUACGCAUAUCUUUAUGAACUAUUGUGGGUAUUUUUGUAUUUCGGGUUUUUGCGAAGGUUAAGAAGCAAUCUUUCGGCGGAUCAAAGACAAUAAACGCAAUUAAAUGAUGACGAUGUUCUUGUCAACACCUUAUUAAAAUAAUCCCUGCGCCUUAAUUACCGAAAAAAACUACAUAUGGAUGUGUAAUUGUUUGGUUAUUGUAAACUACAUUUACUAGCAAAUAGCUUAAGUGUGUAUAAGUGGUUGGAAUCGGUUCCCCAAAACCGAGGUGAUUAAUCGGAGACCAUACUCCGUGAUUAAUCGAUUAUUCAGCAUUUUAUACAAAAAAUGAACUUUUUAAUAUUUUUACCGCUUUUUUUGUUGAUAUAAACAUUAUAUUGCUAUAUUUUACAAAAAAAGAACUUUAUCAUGAAUAUUCCUUAUGUGUUUUGUGAUUUAAUAAUUAAUAAAUGCUAAAAAAUCUUG